CAGCUCUUUAAAAACAGAAAGAAACAAUGACAGAUUAGUCGUCACUCGUACACUUGUAAAGAAGUGAGGAAUUCACCUCCGCUCGACUUGCUCUGACUCCGCCGCGAACUGCGUAGAUCAUAUACAGACAGGGAGGGGUACAUUCAUCCGGAUUCCGCUUCAUGCCCACAGCUUGGAUGGCGGUAACGGGCCCCUGCAGAUUAGCCAGGGCAGUGCUGAAGUGGGGAGAGUCUAUCAGCAGGUCAUCCAAGUAAAGCACACUGUCACUGCACAGCCUGCACCUUGGCUUCCAAAGUCAGCGUCACCUCCUAAUAGCCACUGGGGGGGGGUCAAGGGAACGCGGCAAGCCCAGUGAUGACUCCAGAGGUAUCAUUGAUACAUGGCAGGGCGUAGGAACCAGUCUUGGUGAUGGUAUGGAGUUGGCAGUUGGUGACACAAGGCUGCUGUCCUCACCUGCAGCUACUAUCUCCCUGCUUUGUUCAACUUCUGCCUGCCUCUGUAAAUGUCUACAGUGUUGGGGUCGGCCUCUCCUGUCACUGAGUGCAGUUGCUCUCCACCCCUCUGGUGUGUGUCUUUGUCCAAGUACAGCUCCACCUAACUGACGGAGAAGGUGAAUAAGCGACGAGAAAAGCAGGGGCCCUCAGAGCUGCUGAAACAAAAAUGUCAGCAAACCAAGCCUUAGUCAGCUCCCAAUACCACAAUUCAUAUAGUGGAUUAUGUCUGGAAUACCAGCUCAAUUACUGUGUAUACUUCUAAAAAUGAUUUCUAUAUUAAUUUACAAGCCUUAUGUAUGCAGUGGGUAAACACCACAUAAUAAAUUUUGCAAAAGUUAGGCCUAAACGUCUAACCAUUGUAAUUCACUGCUAAUUAAACUCAAGCAUUUCAACUUUUUCGGUGACUUUAAAUGUAUGUUACACAUUGCCUGGGUCAUGUGACCCCUGAGUUUAUGCAGCAGGCAGUCAACCACAUUCUGUGUGAUUCUGAUCAGUGCUGCUUUGCAUUGAGGUGUGCAACUGUGAUAUUUGUAAGUAAAAUAACUCAUAAACAUCUUCUGAGGAUGAACAUGUAAAGCUAGUCUUCACAAUGUACUGGGAAACAUAGCAAGACCAGUAGGCAGUUCUCAUCACCCUGGUGCAAUACUGGUGGACAAUUUUACCAAAUAAAUAUAUAUAAUAUUCUUGAA
Long non-coding RNA from Brienomyrus brachyistius, 1183 nucleotides. RefSeq lists it as uncharacterized. The transcript has 2 exons. Lineage: Eukaryota; Metazoa; Chordata; Actinopteri; Osteoglossiformes; Mormyridae. The record is from RefSeq and is a predicted model, not a curated record.